AGGAUGGAAAGUGCUUUCUUUGCAAGUGGGCCAUUAUAACCAACCA
This 46-nucleotide transfer RNA is filed under the name Lardoglyphus konoi. RNAcentral describes it as "tRNA-Ala". Lineage: Eukaryota; Metazoa; Arthropoda; Arachnida; Sarcoptiformes; Lardoglyphidae. The record is from RNAcentral.